RNAcentral lists this transfer RNA (75 nucleotides) under Oscillospiraceae bacterium. RNAcentral's name for it is "tRNA-Gln". It matches the Rfam family "tRNA". Rfam says of the family: Transfer RNA (tRNA) molecules are approximately 80 nucleotides in length. The record is from RNAcentral. Lineage: Bacteria; Bacillati; Bacillota; Clostridia; Eubacteriales; Oscillospiraceae.
UGGGGUGUAGCCAAGCGGUAAGGCAACGGACUUUGACUCCGUCACUCGUUGGUUCGAAUCCAGCCACCCCAGCCA